This 192-nucleotide ribosomal RNA is filed under the name uncultured bacterium. Its description in RNAcentral is "partial 16S ribosomal RNA". It matches the Rfam family "Bacterial small subunit ribosomal RNA", at positions 338 to 521 of the family's 1533-position model. The record is from RNAcentral.
CCUACGGGGGGCAGCAGUGGGGAAUUUUUGUCAAUGGGGGAAACCCUGAACAAGCAACGCCGCGUGGAGGAUGAAGGCCUUCGGGUCGUAAACUCCUGUCGGAGGGGACGAAAGCGGUUGGGGUUAAUAACCUCAGUCGUUGACGGUACCCUAUGAGGAAGCCCCGGCUAACUCCGUGCCAGCAGCCGCGGU